CCUACGGGAGGCAGCAGUGGGGAAUAUUGGACAAUGGGGGGAACCCUGAUCCAGCCAUGCCGCGUGUGUGAAGAAGGCCCUCGGGUUGUAAAGCACUUUCAGCGGGGAAGAACGCCUGGUGGUUAAUACCCAUCAGGAAAGACAUCACUCACAGAAGAAGCACCGGCUAACUCCGUGCCAGCAGCCGCGGUAAUACGGAGGGUGCGAGCGUUAAUCGGAAUUACUGGGCGUAAAGCGCGCGUAGGUGGCUUGAUAAGCCGGUUGUGAAAGCCCCGGGCUCAACCUGGGAACGGCAUCCGGAACUGUCAAGCUAGAGUGCAGGAGAGGAAGGUAGAAUUCCCGGUGUAGUGGUGAAAUGCGUAGAGAUCGGGAGGAAUACCAGUGGCGAAGGCGGCCUUCUGGACUGACACUGACACUGAGGUGCGAAAGCGUGGGUAGCAAACAGGAUUAGAUACCCCUGUAGUC
Molecule: ribosomal RNA, 465 nt
Filed under: Vreelandella stevensii
Lineage: Bacteria; Pseudomonadati; Pseudomonadota; Gammaproteobacteria; Oceanospirillales; Halomonadaceae
Description: partial 16S ribosomal RNA
Rfam family: Bacterial small subunit ribosomal RNA
Source: RNAcentral